CUGUAUUCUUCCCAGUAUCUGUGAUACAUAACCAGUACUUGUUCUUCAGAUUCCAAAACUCUCUUGUGCAAAUGGCGUACAUGAUUUUCCAAGAAAAUUUUUGUCUCAGUAUAAAGUCUCUCUCCGAGAGGUUCAGGAUAGGCCACACACAAAGCAUAAAUGUCUGAGAAGCGGUCAUUCCACGUCGCUCUUUCAACAUAAUCCAACAUAACAACAGCUUUAAUUGUUGUUAGAAGUUUGUUCCAUGUUUCAUCGAAGUCAACUACUCGUGGUUUCAAGGACAUUGUGGGGUUUUAGUGUUAAUCUGGCGGCACGGGGCCCGAUCCGCGCCGCCGCCGGCUCCCUCGCUCCCUGUCGCGCGGCCGCGGUCCUGCCCCGCUCCUCGUCCUCACAGCGCUGCCAUUACCCAAGCCGUUCGCCCCUCGCGCCCCGCCCCUCGCCGGCGCCGCCACUACGGGUGGGGGUGAGGUGAGGUCAGACAGCACAGCCCCUCUGCCGCGCCGCCCCCGCGCCCCUUCCUCACCCGCAGCACCGCGGGCCGCCCGUCACCUCCACCCCGCCCCGGCCUCUCCCCACCGACCGCAGGAUGGACGGGGCAGACGGCUUACGGCGCGCCGUCACUUUCCG
RNAcentral lists this long non-coding RNA (627 nucleotides) under Gallus gallus (chicken). Lineage: Eukaryota; Metazoa; Chordata; Aves; Galliformes; Phasianidae. The record is from RNAcentral.